GGCUGCCGGGCUGCGGGCGGUGGGAGAUGACGGGGGUGGGAGCAGGAGCGGGAGCAGGGGCGGGAGCGGGAGCGGGAGUGGGAGUGCUCAGUCUCUCGGGUCGCCUGGAUAUUUAUGAAAAGGACGCCAGGGAAAGGGCUCCGCUGUAGACCGAAGGGAUAAGGGUUCGAUUCAGAAGGGAGCGUUAUUUUUAUCCCCUCUCCACAUAAUGGAACGUUUAAAUGGUUAAAUCAAGUACCUUGCAGGAGAGGGUGGGGUGGCCUUGAGAAUACACUCAAGGCCUCAGUACAUGCAGUCUGGAAGUGGGGGAAUCAAGAGCACCCUGUCUCUAGUACUGUCCUCAAUGAUAAGGCGCUGAGGUUCCCAACCUGGACCAAGAAGUACAUAUUCAGGUUCAAAGGAUAAACCAAAACAAAACCUGAGCUCUCUCUCUAGAAUGAAGUGCCUGGUCCCAGUUCACCAUCUAAUAUUUAUGGAAAGCUUAUCAGGUACUUGGUGCUGGGGGCUAAGGGGCCCGCAAUGUGGUAAGUGAGCAGGGACUGUUGAUGUGUUGGAGGUGUGGAGCAGGGUGAGAAGAGGUGAGCAGUGUGUGUGUAGUGAGAGCAGAGAGGCCACACAGAGCCAAAUGCUGGGGGUAUAGACAAGGGAGCAACCAUGAGAGUUGAGUGUAACAGAAGCUACAGUCCCACUUCCUCCAGAGAGGAGGACCAGCCACUAACUCUUCUUAGUAGCAAUUAGGUGAGGCUGCACCAAAGACAGAACCACCGAGGUGGGCUCUGAAACAUGAGGAGCAGUCCACCAUGUCAAGGCAGGAAGGAAGGCACUCCAGGCAGAGGGAUCAGUCUGUGCCCAAGGCCCUUUGUCAUGAGAGCACAUGCUUGGUCGCUUCUGGCCAUGCCUAAUAAUCUGGCAGGGACAGAGCUCAUGGUCUCCAAGAGCACAUGGUAGCAGACAGGGCUGGAAGGUGUGGGGCCCUGAGAAUCAAGCUAAGGUGCUUCGACUGUAUACCCAAGGUCACGGGGACCACUCAGCAUGUUCAAGGAGGGAAGCAGUAUGAUGAGAACUUUAGAAUGAGUACAAAUUAAACAUCAAUGUGCAUGUAUAAGUGCACAUUUACAUGUACACGCAUGUACAAAACCAAGACAGGGCUGACAGAACACAAGGAAGAAAGUCAGAUGUGACCAAUUCAAAAAGAGUCUGAACAAUCCUUCCCUCUAUUCCUUUUCAUUCCAUAAAUAGGGGUCUCACGUUUACCGUGAGCCAGUGGGGCCAGAUGUUUAAAAAGAGAAAACCAUAGUGCCUUCCCUCAGGAUGCCUUCACUCUGCUAAAGCUCAGUCUGCCCCCACAGAGAACAGAAGUGUCAGCAGAGGACUGUAAGUGCUAUGUGAUUGGACGACGGUGGCCAUAGAAUUUCACCUGCCCAGCACGUAUUCUCUCAUCCUCUCCUCCUCUGCCUUCUUUGGGUAAGUAAAGCUGUUUUCUGUGGUUGCAGUGAUGGCUGGAUCUUGGCAGUCAUACAUGAUAGAACAACCGUGAACCUGAGGAAGUGACUGAGUCACUGUGGGGUGCGAGGCAGUGAGAACUCUUCGUCGCUGGCUGGAAAGCAUCCCAAGGUGGCUGAGAAGCAGAUACACAGACAUGUACCUCUCCAGCUUGCAAAGUCCAGCUCUCUGCCUCUAGGCAGGGCUAGUGCCGGCAAAGGCAAGGGACAGAGACCUAGGAAAAGCCUGCUGUACAGCGCAUGCCUGACCAAGGUGAUCACUGUCACCGCUGUUAAGAGCCAUCUCCUGGGGGUCUAGGUUGCUUGCAGGCAGGGAGAAGAUGAAGCUGUGCCUCACCAUUUCCAGGUUGGUGUCCAAGAGGGACCUGAGAAGGCAGAGGCCAAGGGGGAAGCCAUGCUCGCAGAGGGGUAGGGGAUGUGGCGAGGAUGAGAAGAGCUCCUCGGCCCAUUGUUAGGAAACAGAAAUGACAAGGAAGACCAAGUCGAGGACCAGGACUCAGCAAGAUCUCUGUCUCUGGCGUUGCCUUCCAGUACACAGGGCCAACAGAAAUCAGUGAAACAGCAGGAGAAGGAAGUUCAGGGAAGUCAUGCUAUGGCUAGCAAAUCCCCAAACCUGAAAACAAUUCCUAGGAUCCUGAACCUCUAGCAACAGGAGCAGGGCUACCAAAGUGACAAGGACACAGCAGGGACUGCUCCCCAAGUCCUUUCUCAGGGGCUUCCAUGGAGUCGAGUUUCCAUCUCCUUUUUAUUCUUUAUUUUUAAAGUUACGUUGUGGUCAGUUUCUGCCACCUGCAAAUGGAAUGUGUUCUGACCACUACACACUGUGACAGGGGCAAAAAUAAAGAGCCCUGUGGAGCCUCAAUGGAGGGAGGGGAAGUUUCCUUUCCCGUGGGAGGAAGUGCUGUUGAUUUUAUUUAUUCAGUGAUUCAAUGAAUAUUCCUGGAGGGUCUUCUAUGUACCAAGUAUUCUGCCGGCCAGACCGUCCCUGAACUCAGGGAGCUUAUUUUCUAGUGGGGAGACAGACAAUAGACAGAUCAGGGAAUAUGAAAACAGUUAAAGGUUGCUAUGAAUGCUCUCGGGGAC
RNAcentral lists this long non-coding RNA (2585 nucleotides) under Homo sapiens (human). RNAcentral's name for it is "HSALNT0407851". Lineage: Eukaryota; Metazoa; Chordata; Mammalia; Primates; Hominidae. The record is from RNAcentral.